UACGGGGGGGGGCAAGCGUUGUUCGGAAUUACUGGGCGUAAAGGGCUCGUAGGCGGCCAACUAAGUCCGACGUGAAAUCCCCAGGCUUAACCUGGGAACUGCGUCGGAUACUGGAUGGCUUGAAUUCGGGAGAGGGAUGCAGAAUUCCAGGUGUAGCGGUGAAAUGCGUAGAUAUCUGGAGGAAUACCGGUGGCGAAGGCGGCAUCCUGGACCGACAUUGACGCUGAGGAGCGAAAGCGUGGGGAGCGAACAGG
This 254-nucleotide ribosomal RNA is filed under the name uncultured bacterium. RNAcentral describes it as "partial 16S ribosomal RNA". It matches the Rfam family "Bacterial small subunit ribosomal RNA", at positions 524 to 776 of the family's 1533-position model. The record is from RNAcentral.